This 25-nucleotide non-coding RNA is filed under the name Rattus norvegicus (Norway rat). The record is from RNAcentral. Lineage: Eukaryota; Metazoa; Chordata; Mammalia; Rodentia; Muridae.
UGUCAAGCUGAUGUUUAGAGUAAGG